Molecule: non-coding RNA, 338 nt
Rfam family: Bacterial RNase P class A
About the family: Ribonuclease P (RNase P) is a ubiquitous endoribonuclease, found in archaea, bacteria and eukarya as well as chloroplasts and mitochondria. Its best characterised activity is the generation of mature 5'-ends of tRNAs by cleaving the 5'-leader elements of precursor-tRNAs.
Source: Rfam
UGCGCAGGUCGCCUUAUCGUUCCAGUAUUUACAGGAAAGGAAAGUCCGGACACCACAGGAUAGCAUAACGGUUAAUGGCCGUCGUUGUUGUUAUUCUUUCGCGAAAGCGUAAUCGUAAUAGCAAUAGGACUAGUGCAACAGAAAGUAUGUACAGAUAAUGCUGUAGUGAAAUCAGGUAAACUCUAUGCGGUGCAAUGUCAUGUAGGUCAGAGUUUGAGCGUUAUCCGCGCGAUUUUGAUGGGUAGGCAGAUAGAGGUAAGUAGUAAUACUUAUCCCAGAUAAAUGAUAAGGGUCUCAAUAAAGAGAUACAGAAUCCGGCUUAUAGACCUGCUUUUUUA